RNAcentral lists this ribosomal RNA (702 nucleotides) under Triticum aestivum (bread wheat). RNAcentral's name for it is "partial small subunit ribosomal RNA". The record is from RNAcentral. Lineage: Eukaryota; Viridiplantae; Streptophyta; Magnoliopsida; Poales; Poaceae.
AUGAGCGGAAAUCACGAAGAGAGCGAAAAAGCGAACCAUGGGCGAUCGGGAACCAGAUCCCCCCAAAUCGGUCACUUUUUGAAGGAGAGCAAGAGGAUUGAGGAGAUUGAGGGAUGCGGGGGAGGAUGGAUCCUCACUGAUGGGGAAAAUCUGCUGGAAAGGAAGGAAGCAUGGAUCAAGGUAAGGGAUGCGAUAUUCAGACCCCUGCAAAGCAGGAAAGAGAAGGAUGGAUCGCAAGAGACCACAAAGAAGAAUCAGGGAAAUUUCCAGGCCGGGCUGAUCAGAUCCAAGAUGCAGCGGCUGAGGGAAGACCUAAAUAACAGGAUCAAGGAAAGAAAUCGGGAGGCAAAGGCAAGAGGAUUCACAAGGGCGCAACCUACCGAUCCACCGGAUAGAAACGAAGAAAGGAAACCAAAUCAGGGGCUAUUGCACAAGCAGGCGGCAACGGAUCAAAGUGAAUCAGCAGACAAAUCGUGGAUCAUCAAUUCAAUCGAUGUCAAGGCAAGCAUAAAAGGAGAAUGGGAGGCGAAGUCAAAUCCACCGAUUGUCGUGCAAUUGCCCACACACCAAUCCACUGCAAUGGUGAACCAGGACCAAGGCAAGAACAAGAUGGUGAUGGGCGAGGAGGAAAAGGUGGCCUCCAAUGGCAAGGCCGGGCUAGGAAGGCGGCCACUGGCACGGGGUGAAUCAUCUCGUGCCUAG